Molecule: ribosomal RNA, 496 nt
Filed under: uncultured bacterium
Lineage: Bacteria
Description: partial 16S ribosomal RNA
Rfam family: Bacterial small subunit ribosomal RNA
Source: RNAcentral
GAUGAACGCUGGCGGCGUGCCUAAUACAUGCAAGUCGAGCGAACAGACGAGGAGCUUGCUCCUCUGACGUUAGCGGCGGACGGGUGAGUAACACGUGGAUAACCUACCUAUAAGACUGGGAUAGCUUCGGGAAACCGGAGCUAAUACCGGAUAAUAUAUUGAACCGCAUGGUUCAAUAGUGAAAGACGGUUUUGCUGUCACUUAUAGAUGGAUCCGCGCCGCAUUAGCUAGUUGGUAAGUAACGGCUUACCAAGGCAACGAUGCGUAGCCGACCUGAGAGGGUGAUCGGCCACACUGGAACUGAGACACGGUCCAGACUCCUACGGGAGGCAGCAGUAGGGAAUCUUCCGCAAUGGGCGAAAGCCUGACGGAGCAACGCCGCGUGAGUGAUGAAGGUCUUCGGAUCGUAAAACUCUGUUAUUAGGGAAGAACAAAUGUGUAAGUAACUAUGCACGUCUUGACGGUACCUAAUCAGAAAGCCACGGCUAACUACGUG